GUCCAUACUAGCAAAAUGCAAAAAAAACCUCCACAAGAUCAAGAUGAUCAGCUAGUAACCUAAUUGUCUCUAGGUAAAAAACCAACAUUCUUCAGAAGAUCACAAAAUUGCAUAGUCUGUUACAAUACACAGUCCAACACACAGUAAAAAAUUGCCAGGUAUGCAAAAACAAACAAAAAUAAUAUCUAAAAUGUGAUGCUGUGAAGGGGAGCCCAAAAUAGCUGAAUAGCAUUCCUGAGUUAA
Molecule: long non-coding RNA, 243 nt
Filed under: Bos taurus (domestic cattle)
Lineage: Eukaryota; Metazoa; Chordata; Mammalia; Artiodactyla; Bovidae
Description: long non-coding RNA NONBTAT000211
Source: RNAcentral